This 411-nucleotide long non-coding RNA is filed under the name Bos indicus x Bos taurus (hybrid cattle). RNAcentral's name for it is "lncRNA (ENSBIXG00000028755.1)". The record is from RNAcentral. Lineage: Eukaryota; Metazoa; Chordata; Mammalia; Artiodactyla; Bovidae.
UCCUAAAGAUAGGAGUAAUAAAGACUUCCUUUCUUAUUCCCAUAGCCAAUAAAGGACAUAAAAAUCCCAGUUUAAACCCAAAGGCACCGUAUUAUGGAUAUCCAAGGAUUUGAAAGGAUGAAGCAGCUAUGCAGAGGUCAGCUGCAAGAGGGCGACGCGACAAGAAAUGCAAAAUCCAACAGAGCUCCUGCAGUUCCAGCAAUCUCUGUUCACAAAGUUCAUGACAUGAGAACAGGCUUAAAUGAUGAUGCCUAUUUUUUUUAAAAACAGCUGUGAAUCUAUGACCCAUCUGAGAGUGAAAUACAACAUCUUUCAGACUUGACAAGUAGGAUAAUGUAUAUAUAUUUGUAUAUGUUAUCUCUAAUAUCUGUCUCACAGGACCAUUAGGAGAAAUGAGACAGCAGAUGUAGG